RNAcentral lists this ribosomal RNA (253 nucleotides) under uncultured bacterium. RNAcentral describes it as "partial 16S ribosomal RNA". It matches the Rfam family "Bacterial small subunit ribosomal RNA", at positions 524 to 776 of the family's 1533-position model. The record is from RNAcentral.
UACGGGGGGAGCAAACGUUGUUCGGAAUCACUGGGCGUAAAGGGCGCGUAGGCGGCCAGAUAAGUGGGGUGUUAAAUCUCCCGGCUCAACCGGGAACCUGCACCUCAUACUGCCUGGCUUGAGUGCAGCAGAGGAGACUGGAAUUCCCGGUGUAGCGGUGAAAUGCGUAGAUAUCAGGAGGAACACCGGUGGCGAAGGCGGCUUUCUGGACAGAUACCGACGCUGAGGCACGAAAGCUAGGGGAGCAAACAGG